AGAGUUUGGUCCUGGCUCAGGACGAACGCUGGCGGCACGCUUAACACAUGCAAGUCGAACGAGAGAAGAGGAGCUUGCUUUUCUGAUCUAGUGGCGGACGGGUGAGUAACACGUGAGCAAUCUGCCUUUCAGAGGGGGAUACCGAUUGGAAACGAUCGUUAAUACCGCAUAACAUAAUUGAACCGCAUGAUUUGAUUAUCAAAGAUUUAUCGCUGAAAGAUGAGCUCGCGUCUGAUUAGCUAGUUGGUAAGGUAACGGCUUACCAAGGCGACGAUCAGUAGCCGGACUGAGAGGUUGAUCGGCCACAUUGGGACUGAGACACGGCCCAGACUCCUACUGGAGGCAGCAGUGGGGAAUAUUGCACAAUGGAGGAAACUCUGAUGCAGCGAUGCCGCGUGAGGGAAGAAGGUUUUAGGAUUGUAAACCUCUGUCUUCAGGGACGAAAAAAGACGGUACCUGAGGAGGAAGCUCCGGCUAACUACGUGCCAGCAGCCGCGGUAAUACGUAGGGAGCGAGCGUUGUUCGGAAUUACUGGGUGUAAAGGGAGCGUAGGCGGGAUCGCAAGUCAGAUGUGAAAACUAUGGGCUUAACCCAUAAACUGCAUUUGAAACUGUGGUUCUUGAGUGAAGUAGAGGUAAGCGGAAUUCCUAGUGUAGCGGUGAAAUGCGUAGAUAUUAGGAGGAACAUCAGUGGCGAAGGCGGCUUACUGGGCUUUAACUGACGCUGAGGCUCGAAAGCGUGGGGAGCAAACAGGAUUAGAUACCCUGGUAGUCCACGCCGUAAACGAUGAUUACUAGGUGUGGGGGGACUGACCCCUUCCGUGCCGCAGCAAACGCAAUAAGUAAUCCACCUGGGGAGUACGACCGCAAGGUUGAAACUCAAAGGAAUUGACGGGGGCCCGCACAAGCAGUGGAGUAUGUGGAUUAAUUCGAAGCAACGCGAAGAACCUUACCAGGUCUUGACAUCGUAUGCAUAGCUCAGAGAUGAGUGAAAUCUCUUCGGAGACAUAUAGACAGGUGGUGCAUGGUUGUCGUCAGCUCGUAUCGUGAGAUGUUGGGUUAAGUCCCGCAACGAGCGCAACCCUUACUGUUAGUUGCUACGCAAGAGCACUCUAGCAGGACUGCCGUUGACAAAACGGAGGAAGGUGGGGAUGACGUCAAAUCAUCAUGCCCCUUAUGACCUGGGCCUCACACGUACUACAAUGGCUGUCAACAGAGGGAAGCAAAGCCGCGAGGUGGAGCGAACCCCUAAAAGCAGUCUUAGUUCGGAUUGUAGGCUGCAACCCGCCUACAUGAAGUCGGAAUUGCUAGUAAUCGCAGAUCAGCAUGCUGCGGUGAAUACGUUCCCGGGCCUUGUACACACCGCCCGUCACGCCAUGGGAGUCGGUAACACCCGAAGCCUGUAGUCUAACCGCAAGGAGGACGCAGUCGAAGGUGGGAUUGAUGACUGGGGUGAAGUCGUAACAAGGUA
This 1470-nucleotide ribosomal RNA is filed under the name metagenome. RNAcentral describes it as "bacterial SSU rRNA". It matches the Rfam family "Bacterial small subunit ribosomal RNA". The record is from RNAcentral.